UCCUUGAUGGCUUAGUGGUAAAGAAUCUGCCUGCCAGUGCAGGAGACACGGAUUCAAUCCCUGAUCCAGGAA
Molecule: transfer RNA, 72 nt
Filed under: Bos taurus (domestic cattle)
Lineage: Eukaryota; Metazoa; Chordata; Mammalia; Artiodactyla; Bovidae
Also listed under: 5 other names
Rfam family: tRNA
About the family: Transfer RNA (tRNA) molecules are approximately 80 nucleotides in length. Their secondary structure includes four short double-helical elements and three loops (D, anti-codon, and T loops).
Source: Rfam by way of RNAcentral